Molecule: ribosomal RNA, 405 nt
Filed under: uncultured delta proteobacterium
Lineage: Bacteria; Deltaproteobacteria
Description: bacterial SSU rRNA
Rfam family: Bacterial small subunit ribosomal RNA
Source: RNAcentral
GAGUUUGAUCGUGGCUCAGAGCGAACGUUUGCGGCGGGCCUAACACAUGCAAGUCGAACGGGUUAGCAAUAACCAGUGGCGCACGGGUGCGUAACACGUAGGUAAUCAACCCCUUGGUUCGGGAUAACGUUCUGAAAGGAGCGCUAAUACCGGACUCGUCGUCGAGAGCUUCGGCUUUUGACGAGAAAGACCCUCAAGGGUUGCCGAGGGACGAGCCUGCGGCCCAUCAGCUAGUUGGCGAGGUAAUAGCUCACCAAGGCGAAGACGGGUAGCUGGUCUGAGAGGAUGAUCAGCCACACUGGAACUGAGACACGGUCCAGACUCCUACGGGAGGCAGCAGUGGGGAAUAUUGCGCAAUGGGCGAAAGCCUGACGCAGCCACGCCGCGUGAGCGAUGAAGGCCUUC